Non-coding RNA from Rattus norvegicus (Norway rat), 1289 nucleotides. The record is from RefSeq and is a predicted model, not a curated record. NCBI's taxonomy places the organism in Eukaryota, Metazoa, Chordata, Mammalia, Rodentia, Muridae.
UAUGUGUCUGUAUACAUUAUGUGUAUGUGGAUAUGUGUGCAUGAAUUCAGUGCCCGCGGAGUCAGAGGGCACCGGAUGUCCUGGAGCUGGAGUUACAGGCGGCUGCGAGUCACCUGAUGUGGCAUUGGAAACUGAGCUGCAAACUGAAGAGAUCCGACUGCCUCUACCCUCCUAGCGCCGGGAUUAAAGGCAUGCUCCACCACCGCGCAGUUAAAACCCUCCGUUUUCUUUCAUGGCUAGAUAUAGUUCAACAGAUUUUUUUUGUUUGUUUUUAAUGGUGUCCAAAACCACAAGAUAAAACCUACAUUCUGGUCCCUAAAGAACCACCACCCAGUGGGAAUGAUUGCAUAAUGGCGGAGUUCCAGAAUUUUCAGAACUAGAAUUACAACAGCGCUAAGGUGAGGGCGGAAAUUUUCACAUAAAACACGAAGAAGUUAAAACUGUCUUUGAUUCUGGAGAAGGGAGGGAUACUGGAGGAUACUUAGGUGCCGGAGGAGACGAGACGUCUUUCCAAGGAUCUGGGUGUUCUUGGGUACACCUUUGCAAGGCCCCUACCUCACCCUGACCCUCACGGGGCACCAGCUACCCCUACCCCAGCUCAGCCUCUAUUGUGAAGGCCUGCUUCCUGGGAGGGCGCAGAGGAAGCUGGAUCGCAUGCUGGGCUCUGCUGUGUGGAGUUUCCCGUGUUUGUUUUCCAUUCGUGUUCAGGAGAGUUCUAGCAAAUUCUCACCGCUCCCCACCGUGUUCAGGAGAAAAAGGAAGCCCUGGUGUUUUUCCACACUUGGGCCAGCGCAUGAAGAGCCUAGAGGCCUGGCUGCAGCUAGUCAACACAGAGUGACCUAGCUCUCAGGUGACUGUUUUAUAUUGAUGAAGGUUGGAAUGGAGACUAGAGUGUGAAAGGACAAAAUCCCAUUCUUCAACACAGCAUGUGUGGUGAGGAAGACAAAAAGAAGCUGGUGGAACAACUGUGGUGUAUUCCCUCACAUGUGGGAGCUAAACCGAGGUAAUCUAUGAGGAAAGUGAUUGCUUAGAGGCUACACAGAAGUUGGAUAAAGGGAAGCAAACACAGAGAUUUCAGAAUACAAUGAUGUGACAUUAGAUUACAGUAGAAAUUAGAUGUUUUGUUGGGCACGGUGUUUUCCCAGGUGUGGUGGUAUAUGAGUUUGCUCCCAGGACUAGGGAGGCAGAGAUAGAGCUCAGUUCAAAGCCAGCCUGAUCUACAGAGUAAGUUUAAGGACAGCCAGGGCUGCACAGAGAAACUCUGUCUUGGUAAAGAAGAGGAAAGGAAA